AGGCGCAGUUUGCAAUGGGUGGAUCACCAUGAUUUGCGUAAGUGGAAAUUAGGCAAGUGGGAGAGGAUUUAACAUGGUAUGAGAGGGAGAGAGGACAGCAGCCUGAUGACGGUGGAGGGUUUUAGUGGAGGCAAGGGUGAAAAUGCUAAUGUUGCCUAAUGCUGUUGUUUCUAAUCUUGGUUUAUGUACAAUUCUCUGAGCUCCAUCUCAGACUUACUAAAUCAGAAUCUCUAGGAAUGAGGGCUGGGAACUUUUUUUUUUUUUUUUUUUUUAAGAUCAAUAAGAGAUUCGCAUGCUCAGUCAAUUCUGGCUGGCUGGCUCAAUUUCCAGGUCUCCAGUUACCAGGAAAUUAGUGUCAGCAAAUGCCACUGCCAGUAUAGAUACAGGCAAUAUGCUCUUCUAUUUGUCCAGCAGAAACCAGUAAGAAUACCCUUGUGUGUACUGCUUUCACUCCUUUAAGAUGUCUUUCAGAGACUUGACCUCGCAAUGUUGCAUUCCUGUCUCCUUAUGUGGUGGAAAGGAGGAAGAGGCUGGAGUCAGAAUGGAGAUGCCACACAGGUGUUUCAAAGACAUGAUAAAGAGAAUAGAGAUGGUUGCAAGCCAAAGUAAAUGAAACUGACCCACAUUAACAGUUUCAUUGAGAUAUAAUUGACAUACAAACAAGUAUAUAUAAGUAAAUUGUAGGUCCUUCUGGUUGUGCUAUAUGGGAUGCCACCUCAGCAUGGUUUGAUGAGCAGUGCCAUGUCCGCACCUAGGAUCUGAACCAGCAAAACGCCAGGCCGCUGAAGCAGAGCACCGAACUUAACCACUCGUCCAUGGGGCCAGCCGUUGGAGGAAUUUGUCAACAGUAACUUUGAAAGUCAGAAGACAGUGAAGCAAUGCAUUAGAAAAUCUGAGAGAAAGCUAUUUUCUAUCCUUGGUCAAACAAUUAAGUUUGAGGUAGAAUAAAGACAUUUCAAUCAUGCAAACUCCCGUUCUCCAGAAGCUGCUGAAGGAUAUGCUCCACCACAGUACAAGGUUAAAUCAAGAGAGAGGAAGACGUGACAAUCAGGAAAAAGAGUGUCUAGCACAGAAAAUGCUAGAGUGAUGGAUUUACCUAUAGAAAACCAGUCCAAAUUAGAGCAAAAGGACUCCAGGAUGGAGACCUCCAAAAAAUAAACAUGAAGUAAUAAAAUAAAAUAAACUGAUGCUUUUGACUAUGUGGAAAAUAGAAUUGAAACAGUUUUUUGGCAUCUGUUAUUAUAUCUGGAGAAAAUUAUAAUAGUUUUGUUUUAGGAACUUCAGGUACAACCACACAAGAAUGAGAGUCAGAAGCACAAGUCAAGCAGUCCUGGGAUUGUAUACCAUAUCGGGUUUCUGUCACUCGUUCUGGCCUUGGGUUAAUCUCAUUAAGCUUGAGUUUCUCAAAGGAUAGAAUGAAGCAUAAUUCACAAUAGCCAAGAUGUGGAAGCAACCCAAGUGCCAUUCUACAGGUGAAUGGAUAAAGAAGAUGGGGUGUGUAUAUAUAUAUAUAUAUAUAUAUACACAAUGGAAUACUACUCAGCCAUAAAGAAAGACAAAAUUGUCCCAUUUGCAACAACAUGGAUGGACCUUGAAGAAGGAAGAAUGCUAUGAUCUACUUCCCGAGAUGAUCUAUGCCUCUUGGAGAUGAGCUUUGAGUCUCCAGCUUUUGGCUGGCAUCCACUGACUUGCCCAAUUCAGAACUUAAGGCUCAGAAAGCGUGAACUGCUCUCUGCAGAUCACAAGGCUAGGAAGUGACUUAAGCAAGUGGGCUGUCUCCAGAUUUGUGUCUUCUCUAUCAUAAGGACCUAAGUCACCCAAAAGUGAUCAAUCAACUAAGACUUCACUCAAAGUGAUGAGACUGACGUCAAGGAUGGGAAGAGGAUGACAAGGUCAUGCAGCGGUUGGUGACAGAACCAAGAUGAGGGCUUUUGUCCUUGAAGCAGACUAACCACACCAGGUUCAGGAAUGUAGGCAUUAGAGAAAAUCACUGCCAAGCCUCUGCCUCUUUAUUCUUUCUAGAACUUUAGAAUUCUUGAUGCAAUUGCAAUUGAUUGACUCUUGCUAAGAAAGGAACAUUCAGGACAUGGUGUUGGAGGAAACAGUGGGAGAGUCACUAGAUCCGACUGAGGUCUUCACGUUCAUGGACCUAUUUUUGUGUGUGUGUUUCUAGUGAGCUAAGCAAUGGUUUUGGCAGGGAGGCAUAGACAGCCUACUGAAAUGGUAAUCCUUACACCUACAUCUGUAUGUGCUUGUAUGUCCAUUAUCUCAUUGAACCCCUAAACCAACUCUGUGUAGUACCGUUUUACAGCCAGUAAACCACAGAGUCAGGGCUCGAACCCAGCUUUCUGGUUUCAGGGACCUGUCCGUUGUACAAUUACCACAUUCUGGGGAAAGUUAGGAAAUUCCCUCUAGAGACUGUAAGCAGUUGGUGGACGAUGAUUUGGAAACGCAAGAGAUCCAGUUAAAAUCAUGCUUAGAUCAUAGUUUUAAUUUUAUCAUCUUGACCAUGGAAAUCCAAUGUCAUCCCUAGCCCUUUACUGCAUCCAUAGGAGAAAAGACCAAGAAAAAAGAAGUCCUAUCUGUGGGUGCUUUUAUUCAGAAAUCAUACUUUUCUUUUUUGUGACAUGACACAGUGGAAAAAGCAUAAUUUGGGGGUAAAAUCCUGCCUCCUCCGAUUAUUAGUUGUAUGAUACUGGCCAAGUUCUUCUAAUGUCUCUGAGCCUAGGUUUUCUCAUCUGUGAAAUGUGUCAUUGUGAGAAUGGUGGAGAUAACUUUAAUAUAUAGUUUGACCAAUGCUUGGGAUCUAGUGAGCAUUCAAUGUCUCUAAAUCAUUCCAGAAAUAGAGUGAAGAACAUGUUUAUUCUCUCUUUGCUUUUUCCCCAGAUAGUAUGCAUGAAAGCUUGCUUUCUUUCACUUUACUCCAUCUUCAACAUUCCCUGUCUCAAUAAGCAGCCUCACCGUCUAUCUAAAUGAAACCUAACUACCGAUAACCUCUGCUUGUUUUGCUCUGCCCCUGUCCCUCACCACUUAAUUGAAUCAGCGUUCAAGCAGGGUUGGUGCUACCUUUGAAACUGUCUCAAGUCUGAAGACUAAUUCCUCUACCUGCACCCCUUUCUAAUUCUGUCCCUCAUUAUCUCUCUCAUGGGCUGUGAAAGUAGCUAAAAAGCUGGUCUUGUCUGGGUCAG
Molecule: long non-coding RNA, 3188 nt
Organism: Equus asinus (donkey)
Lineage: Eukaryota; Metazoa; Chordata; Mammalia; Perissodactyla; Equidae
Source: Ensembl